This 253-nucleotide ribosomal RNA is filed under the name uncultured bacterium. RNAcentral's name for it is "partial 16S ribosomal RNA". It matches the Rfam family "Bacterial small subunit ribosomal RNA", at positions 524 to 776 of the family's 1533-position model. The record is from RNAcentral.
UACGUAGGGGGCUAGCGUUGUCCGGAAUCAUUGGGCGUAAAGCGCGCGUAGGCGGCCAGAUAAGUCCGGUGUGAAAGUCACAGGCUCAACCUGUGAAUGCCGCUGGAAACUGCCUGGCUUGAGUCCGGAAGGGGCGAGUGGAAUUCCUGGUGUAGCGGUGAAAUGCGCAGAUAUCAGGAGGAACACCAAUGGCGAAGGCAGCUCGCUGGAACGGUACUGACGCUGAGGAGCGAAAGCGUGGGGAGCGAACAGG